GACGAACGCUGGCGGUGUGCUUAACACAUGCAAGUCGAACGGUAAGGCCCUUUCGUUGUUACACGAGUGGCUAACGGGUGAGUAACACAUGAGUAACCUACCCUCAUCUCUCGUAUAACAAACGUAAACGAUUGCUAAUUAUUGAUAUGUGCUUGCAACGCCUCUUUUGUGGUGGUAGGAUUUUUUUUGGUUGUGGGUGGGCUCGCGGCCCAUAAGCUUUUUGGUGAGGGAGUGGCUCACAAAGGCUUCUACGGGUAGCCGGCCUCAGAGGGGGACCGGCGACAUGGGGAGUGUGAUACGGCGCAAACUCCUAUGGGAGGGAGAAGUGGGGAAUAUUGCACAAUGGACGGAAGUCUGAUGCAGAAACGCCGCGCGUGGGAUGACGGGCUUCGCGUUGUAAACCGCUUUUAAGUGUGACGAAGCUUUUUUGUGACGGUAGCAGUAGAAGAAGCACCGGCUAACUACGUG
Molecule: ribosomal RNA, 468 nt
Filed under: uncultured bacterium
Lineage: Bacteria
Description: partial 16S ribosomal RNA
Rfam family: Bacterial small subunit ribosomal RNA
Source: RNAcentral